AUGGGCAGGAUGCUUUUUCUUCUCACUCCUCUCUUAGGAGUUGUUUUCUGUAGUCAUGGUAAGCUGUCUGGACCAGAGUUAGUGGUAAGAGUCAGCCCGGGCGAUAACAUCACUCUUCACUGCGACUGCCAAAGAUCAAGCGGCAAAUUCAUAGCUUGGUUUAGGAACUGUUCUCAUGAGAACCAGCCUUCACUCAUUCUAAGGACAAACUACAAAUAUGAUCCAUCAUACCUUGAGGACAAAGUAAAUAUUCUCAAUCCAUUCCCUCGUUUGCAUUUAGUGGAAAACCAGUCUUCUGACUCCUAUGACCUGUUGAUCAUGAACACUACUGAUUCUGAUGAGGGUCUCUACUACUGUGGAACUGAACAGAAGGAGGUUGACACAACAUUUUCUCAGAAAUAUAUUUACAAAUACAGCAACAUCACAACCAGGAUUCUGAUGAACUCCACUGUGACUUGUCAUGACAUCCGCAAACCUCAGGAGGACUGUAGCCUGUGCUGGAAGCUGCUUUUCACUCUGUGUCCUUUUAUUGUUGCUCUCUUCUCUCUCUUCUCCUCUGUACUGUUUUACCAGCUUCGCCAAAAAAUAGAAAAUAAUAAAUCUCAAGAUGACAUGAAGACAACUGAAAGCCAAAGUCACAUAAAACAGGAUGAAGAUGUGUGUUAUGCUGCUCUGGAAAUUCGUCAAGCAUCACAGAGACCAAAAAAGAAGAAAAUUCAAAGUUCAGACUUUAGCACAUAUUCCUCCAUCAAUACUUCCCAGAUAUAAGAAUAUUCACAUUUAAAAAUAUGAUAACAAGGUAGUUUUCUACCACAUUUAAGAUGAAAAGCAAAUGAUAGAUUUGGACCUUCUUGUUUUAUCAGCUUUUCAAACCAACUUUGACAUGCUAUUCACAAACCCGUGAUUUUAUCUUGUUUUCAGUCGCUUUGGCUGAAGACCUUUGAUGACUUGAUAUUGUUGUACUGCUUAAUAGAUUCCUCACAGCAGAUAUUUCCAGAAGUAAACUGUGUUGAAUUAAUAGUGGCAUAAAAAGAGAAUGAAGUUUGCCUAGUUAGUUCAAAUAAAGUUGUACUGUGAAGGAAGAUUACCGACUAAGGAAGUGUGUUAAGCCUAAAUAGAGCAUUGUGAGAGAAAAACGUACAUGAAUUGAAAUGGCGAUACAGUAAAUUAAUGAUUGUGUAACUGACUGAUUGCAACUGUUUUUGUAAUAUUGACUAAUGCAGCACAUUAGAAAUCUUUCAGUCUAUUUGUAGACAGAUUAUUCAAUCAGUAAAUGUAACUUUUUGAUUUGUCAAAAACUAACAUGAAUUUAACAUUUUCCUCAUUUUGGGGUAAUGUCUGACCUGAAUGCGCUUCAUUAGUAUGUCCAUAUUACUUUAUUAUAUCUAAUUUGAUGUAGUCAAAAGUUUAAUGGUUUAAUGAGAACCGGUGAAAUGAUAAUCAGCACUCAGUCUGUUGAGUGGUAAAUUAAUGCAUUACCUUGGCUAAGUGACAGUUUUCUGCAGCAUGCAUAAUUUCCCUAGUGUUGUAUUUGCUGUUGUAGUUUUUCUUUGUAGAUUUCUAUCGCCUAUUUCUCUUAUAAUGUCCCAUCUAAAGUAGAUGGCAUUCAGUCUGUCCAUUUUUCGAGCAACAAUAGUCAAACCAUUCCUCAAAUACCCCCUUUUAUGUGAGCGUGCAUAGAGCCUGAAGUCUGGGUUAAGGGUGAAAGUUAUGUUUCCAUUUAUGUUUUGUCAAUGCAAAUAAAACCUGGCUAUGGUCAGCCUCUAAUCAUACAAUAUUUGCGGGCCUAAACAAAUUAGAGGAGUGCAAAAAUUAAGAAGGCAAGGCAAAUAAUACAGGCUUCACGAUUUAUCUUAUCAGAUUUGUCUUAAUAAUGCAAAACUGACUUUGAAUCCAAGACCACAUUUGCCUCUUGGUUAGUUUUACAGUUGAGUUUGAAAUUUCUUGUUUUCUGUUUUAAAGGAAUUGCAUUAGUAUCUUUUCAUCUCUCUGAAUGCUGAAAUGAUUUCUGACAUUGUUUAUUUACUUGUUUUUUAAUACUUUGAAGUUCUGUUUUACUUUUUUUUACUGUCAUCUUUUAUUAUGUUUUAAACUGUAAAGCGAUGUUGUUUUUAAAUGUGCUUGUUUAUAAAUAAAGAGACUCAAUU
Molecule: long non-coding RNA, 2147 nt
Filed under: Oreochromis niloticus (Nile tilapia)
Lineage: Eukaryota; Metazoa; Chordata; Actinopteri; Cichliformes; Cichlidae
Description: lncRNA (ENSONIG00000028500.1)
Source: RNAcentral